UACAGAGGUGGCGAGCGUUGUUCGGAUUUACUGGGCGUAAAGGGCGCGUAGGCGGCGCGGUGUGUCGGGUGUGAAAUCCCAGGGCCCAACCCUGGAAGUGCGCCCGAAACUGCCGCGCUGGAGUGCGGGAGGGGAGAUCGGAAUGCAGGGUGUAGCGGUGAAAUGCGUUGAUAUCCUGCAGAACACCGGUGGCGAAGGCGGAUCUCUGGAACGCAACUGACGCUGAGGCGCGAAAGUCGGGGGAGCAAACAGG
Molecule: ribosomal RNA, 253 nt
Filed under: uncultured bacterium
Lineage: Bacteria
Description: partial 16S ribosomal RNA
Rfam family: Bacterial small subunit ribosomal RNA
Source: RNAcentral